GAAAACAUGGGCUUAUGUUUUCAAGAUGGAUUCUUCUGACAGUGUCUAUGUAUUCCGAGUAGAACGCUAGCAAGUAGUCAAGUAGCUAUCACUUAUGUCGGUCGCUUUGUGAAGUUAGAGGUGUUUUGUGGUCUUUCACAUAUUUUUAAGCUCCAUCAAGGGGAGAUACUGAUGGAUACUGGUUUUGUAUGAGUGAGAUGUAAAACUCAGUUCACAAGCAUCCAAGCAGGGAUAAGAAUGUGAUGCAAUGGUGCAGGGGUAGUGUUUUUUGCCGUGUUGUUGCAUAUAUGGACGUUUCGGUUGAUGGAGCUUGGUUGGUUUACUCUAAACUGAUGCAUAUUUGGUUUGAGAAUUGAUAUCUAUGUUGGAUUAUUUUAUUGGGCCAACUCUUGAAGAUUAUGUGACAAAGACGUAAAGAUCUGAUGGGCGUUGUUGUUUUUGGUUGUCAUAACGCUGAAGAAAAAGACGUAAACACGGUUAUUCAGAUUGUGAAGUAUCCUCUAACAGGUAUGAUUAAGGUCAUUCUGGACUAAGUGUUUUAACAGUGUUUUCUCACUCAAGCAGGGGGAGAUUGAGAAGGUUCAGCGAACAGAUUGUAAGCACAAUGAUAUAGGAUUCAUGGAGAGCUUUAUAUCUUGAUUAUUGAGUGGUAUGCGUGCUUUACAUGGAGAGCUUGAGUUGUAAAACUCAGUUAAAAACGGAGAGAUUGAAAGUGCAGAUAUUGUUGGGACAGUAUUGAAGUACAACCGAUGAGAUCGAGAGUAAGUCGUUCGUGACGUAACGUAGAAGCAAAAAGGCCAUGUGGUUCAUGGGCCUUUAUUCAAGUUAAGCCCAAUUGCUUGUAGAGACUUGAAGCGUGGCUUAAGUCGUCUAGGGUUUUUGGCACUUGAUAUAUAAACUAAGAGAUAGCAACAUGAAGAGUUGCACGUCUAGGGUUUAUUAAGAGAUGCACACUUGUGUGUGGCGUCGUCCCACCAAAUACAGAUGAUGAUCUUUUGGUGGUAUUCCUUUGGAAUCUGCAGCCGUUAGAGAAGACGGUGAUGCACCGGCUGCCGGGUGGUAGUCAAGACAUGUGUGGCUUGAUACUGUUUCCAAAGUCCAUCUAGAAAAGAGUGGUAGGCAAUAGUUAUGCUGUAAUAUCAUAUGCAAUUGUAUUUGCAAUCUUGUUCUAAUGGAAUUGUUUCUGGACUAGGUCCCGGAGAUGUAGGUUGUUACCGAACCCCGUUAACAAAUCUCUGCG
This 1240-nucleotide small RNA is filed under the name Arabidopsis thaliana (thale cress). Its description in RNAcentral is "putative long intergenic non-coding RNA". The record is from RNAcentral. Lineage: Eukaryota; Viridiplantae; Streptophyta; Magnoliopsida; Brassicales; Brassicaceae.